RNAcentral lists this ribosomal RNA (593 nucleotides) under uncultured bacterium. Its description in RNAcentral is "bacterial SSU rRNA". It matches the Rfam family "Bacterial small subunit ribosomal RNA", at positions 77 to 707 of the family's 1533-position model. The record is from RNAcentral.
AGCUUGCUUUUUAAGCUUAGUGGCGAACGGGUGAGUAACGCGUGAGUACCUGCCCUAGAGUGGGGGACAACAGUUGGAAACGACUGCUAAUACCGCAUAAGACCGCAUGGUAAAAGAUUUAUCGCUUUAGGAUGGACUCGCGUCCAAUUAGCUAGUUGGUGAGGUAACGGCCCACCAAGGCACGAUUGGUAGCCGGACUGAGAGGUUGAACGGCCACAUUGGGACUGAGACACGGCCCAGACUCCUACGGGAGGCAGCAGUGGGGGAUAUUGCACAAUGGGGGAAACCCUGAUGCAGCGACGCCGCGUGGAGGAAGAAGGUUUUCGGAUUGUAAACUCCUGUCGUUAGGGACGAUAAGACGGUACCUAACAAGAAAGCACCGGCUAACUACGUGCCAGCAGCCGCGGUAAAACGUAGGGUGCAAGCGUUGUCCGGAAUUACUGGGUGUAAAGGGAGCGCAGGCGGGAAGCAAGUUGGAAGUGAAAACCAUGGGCUCAACCCAUGAAUUGCUUUCAAAACUGUUUUUCUUGAGUAGUGCAGAGGUAGAUGGAAUUCCCGGUGUAGCGGUGGAAUGCGUAGAUAUCGGGAGGAAC